Pantherophis guttatus is the source of this 1734-nucleotide long non-coding RNA. RefSeq lists it as uncharacterized. The record is from RefSeq and is a predicted model, not a curated record. NCBI's taxonomy places the organism in Eukaryota, Metazoa, Chordata, Lepidosauria, Squamata, Colubridae.
GGUGGUCGAGAGAGCAGGUGGAGAGGAGGAGAAGCGAGAAGGCGCAGCGGUGUGGCGCCCGGACGAUCGGGGCGCACCGGCUGCGCUUUCGCCCACGUCGGCUGGGCCGGGGUGUGUGUGUGUGUGUGUGUGUCUUCCGUGGGGCUGUCUCAGAAGGGACAAAUCAAGUUACGUCUACAUAGUUGAUCAGAAGGAAGGGCUCAGAAUUGACUGCUUCCCACCGAGCACUAAACCUUAAAUGAAGGGAAAACAGUUUACGAUCGAGUUCAAGAUAACAGCAUAAUGCAAACAAUAAACAGCCUAAACUAAAACCGUUAGACUCAACAAGGAAAAAAAUGUAGCCUGCUAAGUCCCAUCAGCAGUAUUAAAAACUGUAAAAUUCCCAUAGAGGCCAAUUAGUUGCUUUGAGAAGAGCACAAGGGUGUAAUAACAUUUCUUCUGUAUGCGUUCGCUUGCUAUCAGUAUUCAAAGGCAGAUUGUCUUAGGUGGCAGAUGCUAGUAUAGAGCCAUUCUGAUUUGUGGUGCCCAUUGUAAGGUAUAGUUUAAAAUCAGGGUUUUUCAACUUCUGCAAGUUUAAGAUGGUGGACUUCAAGUCCCAGAAUACCUCUAGCUAUUAUGGGGAAAUUGAGCCACUGGGAGUUGAAGUCCUCCCAACGUAAACACGCAAAAGUUGAGAAGCACUGGUUUAAAUCACAAAUGAACUAAAAAGCUUGUGUUCCUACCGUAUACUAAAUCAGGCUCAUCCCUGCCUCCAGGGGUGCUGUUCAGCAGGUUCUGACAGGUUCUGGAGAACCGGCUGCGGAAAUUUUGAGUAGUUUGGAGAACCGGCAAAUACCACCUCUGGCUGGCCCCAGGGUGGGGUGGGAAUGGAGAUUUCGCAGAAUCCUUCCCCUUCCAUGCCCACCAAGCCAUGCCCUCCCAGCCACACCCACAGAACCGGUAGUAAGAAAAUUUGAAUUCUACCACUGCCUCCCUCCCUCUAAAAUUAGCCAAGCUUAAUGAGUUGAGUGGUUAAUGUAGGCCUCAGGGCUUUUAGUAACCUUAUGAAGCUUGGUGGGCAAAUACAACUGUCUAGCCAUUAGCAUCCUAGUGAGGGAUCCUUGCUGCUUAGUUGGGUUUUUUUGCAGACAUUUCAUGACCCAAGCUAGGCAACUGUCAGGGUUCCAAGUAAUAGACUUGGAAACAAAACUCUGAGGCAGGUAGAUUCCUCAAAGAAUAGCUUUAUUGGAUAUAUCGUAUUGGCACAGAUCUGGUAAAAACCAACUCUGGAGAUUCCCGCGGUUUUCACCUACUUAAAAGUAAAAGUUUCACUUUCUCAAAACAAUCAGUCACAUGGUCCAAUCACAGUGCUGUCUGGUUGCCUGGUGACAUCACUCCACCUUCCUCUGACCAGGUGUGACAAUGUCCUUGGUUCCCAAGAGAAAGUUUGGCUACAAAGUCCCAGCUAUCUAAAAUCCCCCCCUUCCUCCCUAUCCCUCAGCUCUGGUGUGGCAACACCGAAGCUUCCAAGGUGGCUUCGGUCAGCUCAGCUUCAGGAUUGACAGUAACAUCAUCAGUGCUAGUGAUGUUGUUGUUGAAGAUGUUGUUACCUACUUUGGGUCAUGAAAUAUCUGCAAGAAAACAACCAAGCUCAGAAAGCACCAAGGAUUUCAACCUCAUUUCAAUCCUGAGCUACAAAUGUUCUCCUUUAUUGGUAGCAUCUUAGGGUCUGUAUUGCAAAAGGAUUUAACUGUA